CCUACGGGGAGCAGCAGGGAGGAAUAUUGGUCAAUGGACGCAAGUCGGAACCAGCCAUGCCGCGUGAAGGAAGACGGCGCUAUGAGUUGUAAACUGCUUUUGUACGAGGGUAAACGCAGAUACGCGUACCUGUCUGAAAGUACCGUACGAAUAAGGAUCGGCUAACUCCGUGCCAGCAGCCGCGGUAAUACGGAGGAUUCAAGCGUUGUCCGGAAUUAUUGGGCGUAAAGAGUUCGUAGGUGGAAUGUUAAGUCCGGUGUUAAAUGCAGAAGCUCAACUUCUGUUCGGCACUGGAUACUGGUAAGCUUGAGCGCGGUAGAGGUAAGGGGAAUUCCUGGUGUAGCGGUGAAAUGCGUAGAUAUCAGGAGGAACAUCGGUGGCGUAGGCGCUUUACUGGGCCGUAAUUGACACUGAGGAACGAAAGCCGGGGUAGCAAAUAGGAUUAGAUACCCGAGUAGUC
This 460-nucleotide ribosomal RNA is filed under the name uncultured bacterium. Its description in RNAcentral is "partial 16S ribosomal RNA". It matches the Rfam family "Bacterial small subunit ribosomal RNA", at positions 338 to 795 of the family's 1533-position model. The record is from RNAcentral.